CAGCGCCACAAGUGGCAAUCAUAUUUAUUGGGCCUAAAGCGUCCGUAGCCGGUUUAAUAAGUCUUUUGUGAAAUCGUUAAGCUUAACUUAACGGUAUGCAAAAGAUACUGUCAAUCUUGGAACUGGGAAGGGUUAGAAGUAUUCUAGGGGGAGCGGUAAAAUGUUAUAAUCCCUGGAGGACUACCAGUGGCGAAAGCGUCUAACUAGAACAGAUUCGACGGUGAGGGACGAAAGCCAGGGGAGCAAAACGGAUUAGAGACCCGAGUAGUCC
This 271-nucleotide ribosomal RNA is filed under the name uncultured archaeon. RNAcentral's name for it is "partial 16S ribosomal RNA". It matches the Rfam family "Archaeal small subunit ribosomal RNA", at positions 477 to 747 of the family's 1478-position model. The record is from RNAcentral.